UUUUCUUAAAAUUCGAGUUUGAGGUUUCCGUUGGUGGUUUCGAGUUCGUGUACUUGAAGUUAGUCGUUAUUAACUGGGAAAUCGGUAGAAUAUUGUAGCUUCAUAUUAUUAUUUUUCAGCGAGAUAUUUACGCAAAGGUUCACCCGCAAGCACAAAAUUGAUAUUCAAGAAUGAAGUUCCAUCAUUGGUCAGAGAAAAGAAGAAUGUUCAAUCUCGAAGACAGCUAGAGUCAACUUUGACACAUAAGGCGGCCCAGCAUCUCAAGAUACAUCUUCUCAGCUUUUAAUCAAGAAACAAGCAUCCAAGAAUAUUCUACGGACUGUCAUUCGGAAUAGCAUCAACAACUCAUUCCAAGUUACCAGUUCAAGCCCCAAAUUCUAACUUCGAGAUCAUACUUUGAGAUCAAGGUACCCACCGAAAGAAGGUGGAGUGAUAACUAAAGAUCCAAGUGAAGGUUUAAAGGAAGACUGAAGAAAAGUAGAAUAGAUAGGAUCUUGUAUUUCCUUUCCUCGUUUGUGGUAUUUUUCAUUUUUUUUUUGUUUUGUAAUAACAGGAGCCACGGACCGGAACCUCGAAGGAACCUCACUCGAUUCUCCAACUCAUCAUUCCAUCCUUUUACCCACUUGAACUACACGUGACCUGAUUCCCUUAUAACUCGGGAUAUGUAGGAUACCCAAAACCAGGACUCGGUCACAUCCUUUUCUUUUAUAUCUUUUCGCCUUUCAAAUAAUGGUCAUCUCAAAAAUUAGUCACAGUGUUCACUUCUUUGCUUGAAAACUCUUCAUGUUUCCAAGCAAAGAGGGACAUUCUGUAAACACCUAAUUUUUGACCAAACAUAAAUUUUUACAUCA
Molecule: long non-coding RNA, 851 nt
Organism: Lycium barbarum (goji berry)
Lineage: Eukaryota; Viridiplantae; Streptophyta; Magnoliopsida; Solanales; Solanaceae
Exons: 2
Source: RefSeq, a predicted model, not a curated record